Molecule: non-coding RNA, 243 nt
Organism: Cinara cedri
Lineage: Eukaryota; Metazoa; Arthropoda; Insecta; Hemiptera; Aphididae
Source: the annotation of a GenBank genome assembly
CCACUGCUUAUUCCGAGCUCCCAAUUUCAGUCGAGCAUGAACCCACUCAUAGAAAAAUAGGUUUCGUUUACCCUAUUCGAAAAUCCUGUACGUCGUCUUAAAAAAAAACACGGUUAUAAGAUCUCAUAUAAUUAAACUUAACAUUACAUUAUACUUGUGUUUUAUUUUUAAUUUGACGGUAUUGGUCACGGGGUUCGUGUUAUCUUAUAGCAAGGGUCCUCAUUUCCAACAAAUUUGGUUAUU